AUGUGCAGCGAGGGCGCGAGGCAGGGAGGAAGGGGGGAUCCUGGCCACCCCCUCGGGGCCGCCUGGGGCUCGGUGCCCGCACCACCGGGGGGAUCUCCGAGGGGUUUUGCUGCGCCGCACCCCACGGUGGUGCGGAGGGGCCCAGGGAGGGCAGAGCCCCCCCCGGGACCGGGGUCGUGGGGGUCGGGUCCCGCUGCACGAGGCUGGGGGCACCGGGGCGAGCAGGGGGCUCCGUGCGCCCACCCGUGGGAUGCUCCUGGUUUGACCUCCCCGGCUCAGCCCAGCCCAGCUCCAGCUGCCCCCCGGGACCCCCGCCUCAGCCCCCAGCCCCCCCGGCCCGUGUGCGCCCCCCACACUGACCCCCCCAAGCACAACCCACCCGUGAAGCCGCUCGUUCACCUUCCGCGGGGCAAAGCAGGGGAUCGGGCCGGGGGGGGGGGGCGGGGCGGGGGCGGGGCGGGGGUCCCGGCCGGUCCGGACCCUUCCCCGGCCCGGUGCCCGUCGGGCUGCUCGGGGACGGCUCCCGGGCCCCGCACAGCGGGCUGCGGGCGGCUCGGCGGGGGCUCGGGAUGCCGGAGCCCCCCCAGGACCCCCGUGCGGGGCGGGCCGGGGGCCGGGGCCGCCUCGGCUGUGCCAUCUGCCGGCGGCGGCGCGGGGAGCGCCCCGGGACGGGACGGGACGGGACGGGACCGGGCGGCGGCCACCGGGGGUCGUGGGCGUGGGAGGGAGGCGCUGGGGGGGGGACGCGUGGCCGUGGGUGCGCGCGGGUCCGCGCCCGUGGCUCGGCGGCGCGCCCCGGGGCGUGCACGUGUAAGGGGGGCACACGCGUGUGUGCGGCUGGGGGGGCGCACCCCAGCCCGCGGGGGAGUCCGCGCGUGUGCGGCUCCAAGCGCGGCCCCCCCGGCUCUGGGGAGCCCCGGGACCCCCGGGACCCCCGGGGCUCGGUGUCGGGGUGCGCGGGACCCCCCCCGCGAUCCGGCCGCUCCUGCCCUUAUUUGGGCAUUUCGGCCCCGGCCAAUCAGCUCGGGGGGGCCGGGCCCGACCCCCCCCCCGCCCCGCCCGGACCCCCCCCGCCCCGCCCGGUCCCGCCCGGUGCCGCCGCCGCUCCCCGCUCCGGUGCCCGCUCCGCUGCCGCCGCGCCAUGAGCAGCUCCCAGUUCAACAAGGGGCCGUCCUACGGCCUCUCCGCCGAGGUCAAGAACCGGCUCGCCCAGAAGUACGACCCGCAGAAGGAGGCAGAGCUGCGGACGUGGAUCGAGAGCGUCACCGGGCAGCAGAUCGGGCCGGAUUUCCAGAAGGGGCUGAAGGAUGGAGUCAUCCUCUGCGAGUGAGUCCC
Molecule: long non-coding RNA, 1335 nt
Filed under: Anas platyrhynchos platyrhynchos (common mallard)
Lineage: Eukaryota; Metazoa; Chordata; Aves; Anseriformes; Anatidae
Description: lncRNA (ENSAPLG00000019027.1)
Source: RNAcentral